Molecule: long non-coding RNA, 1186 nt
Organism: Megalobrama amblycephala (Wuchang bream)
Lineage: Eukaryota; Metazoa; Chordata; Actinopteri; Cypriniformes; Xenocyprididae
Exons: 3
Source: RefSeq, a predicted model, not a curated record
UCUCCAGAAUGUUCCAUUUAUAAACAUACAUGUUGUUGAUUGCCCAACCAAGCCCCAAAAACACAAGCACUGCUGUCAGCUUCCUUUAGCACACAUAAUUCCACUCAGCGGUUAAGAACCAUCCCUGCUGCGCUGGCCAGGGGUGUGAGAGAGAUGAAGAGGAGCAGGGAGAAGAAAUAGAGUGGAAAAUGGGCAACAGAGAGCACUGCUUGGAGACCUCGACAGAAUCCACACGAUUCCCAGCGCAUGAGACGGUGUGGAAGGGGAAGCUAAUCCUCACCCUCUCAUCUCCCCGAAGACCUCGGUAGAUCCACUUCCAGAUGUUUCCUGUAUUGUCACUCACUUCUGCUUAUACGAGGGCCAAAAGGCUUUAACGUGAAGUUUACAUUGUCUGAAAUGUCUUCUCGUUGGCUUUUGAAGCUCAUCACUGUGGAAAACAUCAUAAUUAGGAUCUUUUCACCCAUUAGUAGCAUUGGUUUACAUUGUACAACAACCCAUUACGCUCUGUUUGACUAAUAAAAGCCGAAGCUUUCUUGGCUUUGGACCGGGUCUUGCAUCUGUCUCCUCUUCACGAGAUGUGGAAGAACGCAUUCUUUCGUGUGUGACCGAACAGUUCUCGCAAUCAGAGGCAGGCGUUCAAAAAACAAAGCAAUGAAAUUUGUCAUCUUUUUAAAAGGCUGCUUUCAUAAGGAGCUCAAGGCCAAAUCCUCUCUUGAAAGCAGGAAAAUCUUGAUUCCAAAUUAGUUUAACAAGCCUUUUCCUGUUUUAUCAGAGCUUGUUCGCUUUAAACACAUGCUAUUGUAAUCAUUCUAUUUUUAAGGGUGGUUUGAGGGGCAGGCCAGUACUGGUGGGCGAAAGUCCUAUCACACUUUGUUAGAUAGCAUGUAUCAGAUUUCAUAAACAAGCGAGGAACAUUUUUAUCAAUCAUUCAAUUAAAGCGGGAGAGCGGCACGCUCGUAUUCACUUGAAAGAUUCUUUGUGUUGGAGGCCAAGACAUUUGCAGGGCGCCAUGCUUGAUAGUAUUUCAUCUGUAAUGACUACAUCUUUUACACAAAUGACUCGGAAAAUAAAGCUACAAAUCUCUCUUCCUGUCCUCGGAAUGUUUGUCCCACUUUGUCCCGGAUGACUAAACACAUCUAUGGUGAGAUAAACAGCGUGAUGCAUAAGAAAAGAUCAAUAUUAUUUC